GAUGAACGCUGGCGGCGUGCCUAAUACAUGCAAGUCGAGCGAACGGACGAGAAGCUUGCUUCUCUGAUGUUAGCGGCGGACGGGUGAGUAACACGUGGAUAACCUACCUAUAAGACUGGGAUAACUUCGGGAAACCGUAGCUAAUACCGGAUAAUAUUUUGAACCUCAGGGUUCAAAAGUGAAAGACCGUCUUGCUGUCACUUAUAGAUGGAUCCGCGCUGCAUUAGCUAGUUGGUAAGGUAACGGCUUACCAAGGCAACGAUGCAUAGCCGACCUGAGAGGGUGAUCGGCCACACUGGAACUGAGACACGGUCCAGACUCCUACGGGAGGCAGCAGUAGGGAAUCUUCCGCAAUGGGCGAAAGCCUGACGGAGCCACGCCGCGUGAGUGAUGAAGGUCUUCGGAUCGUAAAACUCUGUUAGUAGGGAAGAACAUAUGUGUAAGUAACUGUGCACAUCUUGACGGUACCUAAUCAGAAAGCCACGGCUAACUACGUG
RNAcentral lists this ribosomal RNA (497 nucleotides) under uncultured bacterium. Its description in RNAcentral is "partial 16S ribosomal RNA". It matches the Rfam family "Bacterial small subunit ribosomal RNA", at positions 28 to 507 of the family's 1533-position model. The record is from RNAcentral.